RNAcentral lists this non-coding RNA (45 nucleotides) under Schistosoma margrebowiei. Lineage: Eukaryota; Metazoa; Platyhelminthes; Trematoda; Strigeidida; Schistosomatidae. The record is from RNAcentral.
ACCCAGCCGACGAGUCCCAAAUAGGACGAAACGCGCAUCCUGAAU